This is a small nucleolar RNA of Tachyglossus aculeatus (Australian echidna), 138 nucleotides long. The record is from RefSeq and is a predicted model, not a curated record. NCBI's taxonomy places the organism in Eukaryota, Metazoa, Chordata, Mammalia, Monotremata, Tachyglossidae.
CUCCUCUUAGGAUCACAUCUGGAGAGUUUCCAGGACUCUACCGGUCUCGGAUACAAGAGGGAGAGUCAAGCACAGGCAUACCCUUUCCAUUCCUAGCCUGGGAAGUGGCUAGCGAGUGUAAGGCAGUCUGCUACAAGU